UACGGGGGGGGCAAGCGUUGUUCGGAAUUACUGGGCGUGAAGGGCUCGUAGGUGGCCAACUAAGUCAGACGUGAAAUCCCUCGGCUUAACCGGGGAACUGCGUCUGAUACUGGAUGGCUUGAGUUUGGGAGAGGGACGCGGAAUUCCAGGUGUAGCGGUGAAAUGCGUAGAUAUCUGGAGGAACACCGGUGGCGAAGGCGGCGUCCUGGACCAACACUGACACUGAGGAGCGAAAGCCAGGGGAGCAAACGGG
This 253-nucleotide ribosomal RNA is filed under the name uncultured bacterium. RNAcentral's name for it is "partial 16S ribosomal RNA". It matches the Rfam family "Bacterial small subunit ribosomal RNA", at positions 524 to 776 of the family's 1533-position model. The record is from RNAcentral.